UAUUUGAUAGGUAAGAAGCUUUAUUACACUGGUAAUAAAACCAUUCUAGCUUUGAGCAUCAUCUCUCUGCUGCUGCUUAUCCUAGUUAUGCUCGUUUUAGGCCUACUUUUAUUCAUCGUCAACCGUUAUCGUUCAAGCACUACCCACACAACGACAACGUCGACAAGUCACGCAAAGACUGUGACAACCACCACCACCAUUGAAACUCCGCCGGCCAGAGCGUAAAACCAUCAUGGCCUCCAACAACAAUAAAAGGCAUAUUCUGAUGCUUUAGUUAAAUUUUCAUUAACACACACCCACAUACACACACACAUAUAUACAUAUAUAUAUAUAUACGUGUAUAUAUAUAUCUAUGUAUACACACACGCACACACACACACACACACACACACACACACACACACAUACAUAUAUAUAUAUAUAUAAUCUUUUUCUUUUGCUUUUAACAUUUGUAUGAUCUUUAAUCGUUUUAAAUAUAUCUUAACUGCUUACAUUUCAAUUUUUCUUUCCUGAAUUACUAAGAAAUUUUAUCUGCAUAAAAUAUUUCUUUUCCAAAAU
Long non-coding RNA from Octopus sinensis (East Asian common octopus), 558 nucleotides. RefSeq lists it as uncharacterized. The record is from RefSeq and is a predicted model, not a curated record. The transcript has 4 exons. NCBI's taxonomy places the organism in Eukaryota, Metazoa, Mollusca, Cephalopoda, Octopoda, Octopodidae.